GAUGAACGCUGGCGGCGUGCCUAAUACAUGCAAGUCGAGCGAACAGACGAGGAGCUUGCUCCUCUGACGUUAGCGGCGGACGGGUGAGUAACACGUGGAUAACCUACCUAUAAGACUGGGAUAACUUCGGGAAACCGGAGCUAAUACCGGAUAAUAUAUUGAACCGCAUGGUUCAAUAGUGAAAGACGGUUUUGCUGUCACUUAUAGAUGGAUCCGCGCCGCAUUAGCUAGUUGGUAAGGUAACGGCUUACCAAGGCAACGAUGCGUAGCCGACCUGAGAGGGGGCUCGGCCACACUGGAACUGAGACCCGGUCCAGACUCCUACGGGAGGCAGCAGUAGGGAAUCUUCCGCAAUGGGCGAAAGCCUGACGGAGCAACGCCGCGUGAGUGAUGAAGGUCUUCGGAUCGUAAAACUCUGUUAUUAGGGAAGAACAAAUGUGUAAGUAACUAUGCACGUCUUGACGGUACCGAAUCAGAAAGCCACGGCUACCUACGU
This 496-nucleotide ribosomal RNA is filed under the name uncultured bacterium. RNAcentral's name for it is "partial 16S ribosomal RNA". It matches the Rfam family "Bacterial small subunit ribosomal RNA", at positions 28 to 506 of the family's 1533-position model. The record is from RNAcentral.